This is a small nucleolar RNA of 133 nucleotides. Its record names the gene U8. It matches the Rfam family "U8 small nucleolar RNA". Rfam says of the family: U8 is a member of the C/D class of snoRNA which contain the C (UGAUGA) and D (CUGA) box motifs. The record is from Ensembl.
ACAUCAGUGAGGUACAUCCUUACCUGUUGCUCUUUCGAGAGCUGCAGAACAUGAUGAAUGGAUUGGGAUGAUAAAGUGAUUAACUAAAUCCCCUUCUAGAAGGUCUGCAACACCUUCUAGAAACCAUUCUGAC